CAGCCGCCGCGGUAAAACGAAGGGUGCAAGCGUUACUCGGAAUUACUGGGCGUAAAGCGUGCGUAGGUGGUGGUUUAAGUCCGUUGUGAAAGCCCUGGGCUCAACCUGGGAAUUGCAGUGGAUACUGGGUCACUAGAGUGUGGUAGAGGAUAGUGGAAUUUCCGGUGUAGCAGUGAAAUGCGUAGAGAUCGGAAGGAACAUCUGUGGCGAAGGCGACUAUCUGGGCCAACACUGACACUGAGGCACGAAAGCGUGGGGAGCAAACAGGAUUAGAUACCCCUGUAGUCCCUGUCUCUUAUAC
This 301-nucleotide ribosomal RNA is filed under the name uncultured bacterium. RNAcentral's name for it is "partial 16S ribosomal RNA". It matches the Rfam family "Bacterial small subunit ribosomal RNA", at positions 509 to 807 of the family's 1533-position model. The record is from RNAcentral.